GUUGCUAGCAUGAAGAGCAGGAGUCAGGUGAAUGUUCCCAGAACAGAAGUUCCCAGAACAGAAGGUGAAGGACAGGAGAGUGGGGUGUGUACAUUUGUACAUGCAGUUGCCAGCACAGAGACUGAGGCACAGAAGAACAAGUUGUUUGAGUUGGCAUACUGAGUUCUUCUGAAGCUGAAGGAGAAGAUGGUGAACCACGGUCAGAUAGUCCGAGAUCAGGGGAACAUAGAAAAAGAGCAGAGAGAUGGCUUAAACAAGCAAUCGCUUCCUGAGCUGCUUUUCUCCACAGUGCGGACUUCAAGCAGUUGUUAGAAGACCCCGGGAAUUUACCACCUUUGUUCAACAUCACAGAAUGUUUUUAAUAAAGCUUUCACUGAAA
Molecule: long non-coding RNA, 379 nt
Organism: Python bivittatus (Burmese python)
Lineage: Eukaryota; Metazoa; Chordata; Lepidosauria; Squamata; Pythonidae
Source: RefSeq, a predicted model, not a curated record